GGGAGUGUAGCUCAGUGGUAGAGCACUUGUCCAACUGUUCCGUUCUGAGUUCAAGUCCCAGCACCUCUG
This 69-nucleotide transfer RNA is filed under the name Cavia porcellus (domestic guinea pig). It matches the Rfam family "tRNA". Rfam says of the family: Transfer RNA (tRNA) molecules are approximately 80 nucleotides in length. Their secondary structure includes four short double-helical elements and three loops (D, anti-codon, and T loops). Further hydrogen bonds mediate the characteristic L-shaped molecular structure. tRNAs have two regions of fundamental functional importance: the anti-codon, which is responsible for specific mRNA codon recognition, and the 3' end, to which the tRNAs corresponding amino acid is attached (by aminoacyl-tRNA synthetases). tRNAs cope with the degeneracy of the genetic code in two manners: having more than one tRNA (with a specific anti-codon) for a particular amino acid; and 'wobble' base-pairing, i.e. permitting non-standard base-pairing at the 3rd anti-codon position. The record is from Rfam by way of RNAcentral. Lineage: Eukaryota; Metazoa; Chordata; Mammalia; Rodentia; Caviidae.